This 667-nucleotide unclassified non-coding RNA is filed under the name Mesorhizobium plurifarium. RNAcentral's name for it is "partial miscellaneous RNA". The stretch from base 543 to 667 matches the Rfam family "Bacterial large subunit ribosomal RNA", at positions 1 to 124 of the family's 2925-position model. The record is from RNAcentral. Lineage: Bacteria; Pseudomonadati; Pseudomonadota; Alphaproteobacteria; Hyphomicrobiales; Phyllobacteriaceae.
CCUCCCAGGCCCACCAUUUCCUCGAUCGCUGUAUCAGGGAAAGUACUAUCAGGGGCCGUAGCUCAGCUGGGAGAGCGCCUGCUUUGCAAGCAGGAUGUCGUCGGUUCGAUCCCGUCCGGCUCCACCAACCAUCUUCUGCGAAGAUGGGGCGUGUCGAGUAGAGACGGUGAGAAAAAAGUCAUUCGAAAAAGAGUUUGCGUCGAGCCUCUUGGCUCUGCGCCUGUUCUGUUUGACAUCGUAAAGAGAAGAUUUGUUCGAACUUCAUGAGCCGCAAGGUCUCAUGAUUUGUCGCAAGGGACGCUCAAUCCCUUGCCUAUGAUGGGUUUGCCUAACCGCGCCCUCGAACGGAUCUCGAGAAGCUGGUCUUUUUGUGCCAAUUCCAACCAGUAAUACCCCGCACAGGGUGUUGCUGGAGCGACGAUCUCUUCGAGAUCGCGCUUAUGCGACGAUCCUUCGGAUCGCGCUUAGCCAAUCCCGCAAGGGCGAGGCUGAAGCGACGAUCCCUGCGGGAUCGCGCGAUGAUGGGUAUUGGCAAUGAGAACGAUCAAGUGUCUUAAGGGCAAUUGGUGGAUGCCUUGGCAUGCACAGGCGAUGAAGGACGUGAUACGCUGCGAUAAGCUACGGGGAGGUGCGAAUACCCUUUGAUCCGUAGAUCUCCGAAUGGGAA